CGGGGGGGCAAGCGUUGUUCGGAAUUACUGGGCGUAAAGGGCUCGUAGGUGGCCAACUAAGUCAGACGUGAAAUCCCUCGGCUUAACCGGGGAACUGCGUCUGAUACUGGAUGGCUUGAGGUUGGGAGAGGGAUGCGGAAUUCCAGGUGUAGCGGUGAAAUGCGUAGAUAUCUGGAGGAACACCGGUGGCGAAGGCGGCAUCCUGGACCAAUUCUGACGCUGAGGAGCGAAAGCCAGGGGAGCAAACGGGAUUAGAUACCCCGGUAGUCCUGGCCCUAAACGAUGAAUGCUUGGUGUGGCGGGUAUCGAUCCCUGCCGUGCCGAAGCUAACGCAUUAAGCAUUCCGCCUGGGGAGUACGGUCGCAAGGCUG
Molecule: ribosomal RNA, 371 nt
Filed under: uncultured organism
Description: bacterial SSU rRNA
Rfam family: Bacterial small subunit ribosomal RNA
Source: RNAcentral